This 1321-nucleotide ribosomal RNA is filed under the name Escherichia coli. RNAcentral's name for it is "partial 23S ribosomal RNA". It matches the Rfam family "Bacterial large subunit ribosomal RNA", at positions 1589 to 2908 of the family's 2925-position model. Lineage: Bacteria; Pseudomonadati; Pseudomonadota; Gammaproteobacteria; Enterobacterales; Enterobacteriaceae. The record is from RNAcentral.
AGUUCCUGAUUCCACACUGCCAAGAAAAGCCUCUAGCGAGGGAAAAGGUGCCCGUACCGCAAACCGACACAGGUAGGCGAGGAGAGAAUCCUAAGGUGAGCGAGAGAACUCUCGUUAAGGAACUCGGCAAAAUGACCCCGUAACUUCGGGAGAAGGGGUGCUCAUUAGGGUGAAUAGCCCUGAUGAGCCGCAGUGAAUAGGCCCAGGCGACUGUUUAGCAAAAACACAGGUCUCUGCGAAGCCGCAAGGCGAAGUAUAGGGGCUGACGCCUGCCCGGUGCUGGAAGGUUAAGAGGAGAGGUUAGCGCAAGCGAAGCUUUGAAUCGAAGCCCCAGUAAACGGCGGCCGUAACUAUAACGGUCCUAAGGUAGCGAAAUUCCUUGUCGGGUAAGUUCCGACCCGCACGAAAGGCGUAACGAUCUGGGCACUGUCUCAACGAGAGACUCGGUGAAAUUAUAGUACCUGUGAAGAUGCAGGUUACCCGCGACAGGACGGAAAGACCCCGUGGAGCUUUACUGUAGCCUGAUAUUGAAUUUUGGUACAGCUUGUACAGGAUAGGUAGGAGCCUGAGAAGCCGGAGCGCCAGCUUCGGUGGAGGCGUCGGUGGGAUACUACCCUGGCUGUAUUGAAAUUCUAACCCGCGCCCCUUAUCGGGGCGGGAGACAGUGUCAGGUGGGCAGUUUGACUGGGGCGGUCGCCUCCUAAAAAGUAACGGAGGCGCCCAAAGGUUCCCUCAGAAUGGUUGGAAAUCAUUCGCAGAGUGUAAAGGCACAAGGGAGCUUGACUGCGAGACCUACAAGUCGAGCAGGGACGAAAGUCGGGCUUAGUGAUCCGGUGGUUCCGCAUGGAAGGGCCAUCGCUCAACGGAUAAAAGCUACCCCGGGGAUAACAGGCUUAUCUCCCCCAAGAGUCCACAUCGACGGGGAGGUUUGGCACCUCGAUGUCGGCUCAUCGCAUCCUGGGGCUGUAGUCGGUCCCAAGGGUUGGGCUGUUCGCCCAUUAAAGCGGUACGCGAGCUGGGUUCAGAACGUCGUGAGACAGUUCGGUCCCUAUCCGUCGUGGGCGCAGGAAAUUUGAGAGGAGCUGUCCUUAGUACGAGAGGACCGGGAUGGACGCACCGCUGGUGUACCAGUUGUCUUGCCAAAGGCAUCGCUGGGUAGCUAUGUGCGGAAGGGAUAAGUGCUGAAAGCAUCUAAGCAUGAAGCCCCCCUCGAGAUGAGAUUUCCCAUAGCGUCAAGCUAGUAAGAUCCCUGAAAGAUGAUCAGGUUGAUAGGUCAGAGGUGGAAGCGUGGCGACAUGUGGAGCUGACUGAUACUAAUCGA